AUCUGCUGAGUUUAACAGAACUGUUUCUGUUGGAGGUCUCCUGGGACCGAUGGUGUAUCUGCUGAGUUUAACAGAAAUGUUUCUGUUGGAGGUCUCCUGGGACUGAUGGUGUAUCUGCUGAGUUUAACAGAACUGUUUCUCACCAGUUGGUCCCUUUUCUGUUUGAGGUCUCCUGGAACUGAUGGUGUAUCUGCUGAGUUUAACAUAACUGUUUCUCACCAGUUAGUCCCUUUUCUGUUGGAAGUCUCCUGGGACUGAUGGUGUAUCUGCUGAGUUUAACAGAACUUUUUCUGUUGGAGGUCUCCUGGGGACUGAUGGUGUAUCUGCUGAGUUUAACAGAACUGUUUCUGUUGGAGGACUCCUGGGACUGAUGGUGUAUCUGCUGAGUUUAACAGAACUGUUUCUCACCAGUUGGUCCCUUUUCUGUUUGAGGUCUCCUGGGGAAUGAUGGUGUAUCUGCUGAGUUUAACAUAACUGUUUCUGUUCGAGGUCUCCUGGGACUGAUGGUGUAUCUGCUAAGUUAAACAGAACUGUGUCUCACCAGUUGGUCCCUUUUCUUUUGGAGGACUCCUGGGACUGAUGGUGUAUCUGCUGAGUUUAACAGAACUGUUUCUGUUGGAGGUCUCCUGGGACUGAUGGUGUAUCUGCUGAGU
This is a non-coding RNA of Salmo salar (Atlantic salmon), 653 nucleotides long. NCBI's taxonomy places the organism in Eukaryota, Metazoa, Chordata, Actinopteri, Salmoniformes, Salmonidae. The record is from RefSeq and is a predicted model, not a curated record.